This 460-nucleotide ribosomal RNA is filed under the name uncultured bacterium. RNAcentral describes it as "partial 16S ribosomal RNA". It matches the Rfam family "Bacterial small subunit ribosomal RNA", at positions 338 to 795 of the family's 1533-position model. The record is from RNAcentral.
CCUACGGGAGGCAGCAGUGAGGAAUAUUGGUCAAUGGACGGAAGUCUGAACCAGCCAAGUAGCGUGCAGGAUGACGGCCCUAUGGGUUGUAAACUGCUUUUAUAUGGGGAUAAAGUUCAGUAUGUAUAUUGUGCUGAAUGUACUGUACGAAUAAGGAUCGGCUAACUCCGUGCCAGCAGCCGCGGUAAUACGGAGGAUCCGAGCGUUAUCCGGAUUUAUUGGGUUUAAAGGGUGCGUAGGCGGAUGUAUAAGUUAGUUGUGAAAGUUUCGGGCUUAACCCUGGAAUUGCCGUUGAUACUGGGUGUCUUGAGUGUAGCAGAGGUAGGCGGAAUUCGUGGUGUAGCGGUGAAAUGCUUAGAUAUCACGCAGAACUCCGAUUGCGAAGGCAGCUUACCGGACUGUAACUGACGCUGAUGCUCGAAAGUGUGGGUAUCAAACAGGAUUAGAUACCCCAGUAGUC